AAGAAAUAUUCUGUUUCUGGCCUCCCAUCUUGGUGGGGGAUGUGCAGGCUGAGAACACAGGAGCUGACUUCUAUUGUACCAGCUGAGACUGCAGGGUAGACUGCAAGAAGUGCCUCCUUGCUGAUGGACUGGCAGAUGAGAGUGGAGUCUGUAAAUCACCCUCCAUGCAAUGGUUCAUCAUAAAGGAUAUGGAGCAAAAUUAGAGGAGGCACGAGAAGGAAAGCCGGUGAUGAACAAGGAAAGUGCCUGGUUGAAGCUAGCUUGCAAUCCCCAAAGUCAGAAGGUUGCCUGGGAAGCCAUGAAACAAAGCCAAAUCAAGGCAAAGCAGACACAUGGAGAUUUUGAGACUGAGAAGAGGAAAACUGAGGACAUUCAUGUGAGAUGGUUUCAAGUUUCCCUUAGAAGGAGAAGUUAUCUUCAGAAGGUCAGGUUGGUGAGGUGGGAGUUCAAAAACAACAAAGUAUGUAGCUACCAUUGUGAGGAAGACCAUGGA
Molecule: long non-coding RNA, 493 nt
Filed under: Pan troglodytes (chimpanzee)
Lineage: Eukaryota; Metazoa; Chordata; Mammalia; Primates; Hominidae
Description: lincRNA
Source: RNAcentral